RNAcentral lists this ribosomal RNA (253 nucleotides) under uncultured bacterium. RNAcentral's name for it is "partial 16S ribosomal RNA". It matches the Rfam family "Bacterial small subunit ribosomal RNA", at positions 524 to 776 of the family's 1533-position model. The record is from RNAcentral.
UACGGGGGGUGCGAGCGUUAAUCGGAAUUACCGGGCGUAAAGCGAGCGUAGUCGGUUAUUUAAGUCGGGUGUGAAAGCCCCGGGCUCAACCUGGGAAUUGCAUUCGAUACUGGAUAGCUAGAGUUCGGCAGAGGGAAGCGGAAUUUCCGGUGUAGCGGUGAAAUGCGUAGAUAUCGGAAGGAACAUCAGUGGCGAAAGCGGCUUCCUGGACCAGAACUGACGAUCAGGCUCGAAAGCGUGGGGAGCAAACAGG